RNAcentral lists this ribosomal RNA (429 nucleotides) under Bacteroidota bacterium. Its description in RNAcentral is "Bacteroidetes bacterium partial 16S ribosomal RNA". It matches the Rfam family "Bacterial small subunit ribosomal RNA", at positions 355 to 776 of the family's 1533-position model. The record is from RNAcentral. Lineage: Bacteria; Pseudomonadati; Bacteroidota.
UAGGGAAUCUUCGGCAAUGGGGGGAACCCUGACCGAGCAACGCCGCGUGAGUGAAGAAGGUUUUCGGAUCGUAAAGCUCUGUUGUUAAGGAAGAACGAGUGUGAGAAUGGAAAGUUCAUACUGUGACGGUACUUAACCAGAAAGGGACGGCUAACUACGUGCCAGCAGCCGCGGUAAUACGUAGGUCCCGAGCGUUGUCCGGAUUUAUUGGGCGUAAAGCGAGCGCAGGCGGUUAGAUACGUCUGAAGUUAAAGGCAGUGGCUCAACCAUUGUAGGCUUUGGAAACUGUUUAACUUGAGUGCAGAAGGGGAGAGUGGAAUUCCAUGUGUAGCGGUGAAAUGCGUAGAUAUAUGGAGGAACACCGGUGGCGAAAGCGGCUCUCUGGUCUGUAACUGACGCUGAGGCUCGAAAGCGUGGGGAGCGAACAGG